RNAcentral lists this ribosomal RNA (253 nucleotides) under uncultured bacterium. RNAcentral describes it as "partial 16S ribosomal RNA". It matches the Rfam family "Bacterial small subunit ribosomal RNA", at positions 524 to 776 of the family's 1533-position model. The record is from RNAcentral.
UACGUAGGUGGCAAGCGUUGUCCGGAGUUAUUGGGCGUAAAGCGCGCGCAGGCGGUGCGGUAAGUCUCUGGUGAAAGCGCUCGGCUCAACUGGGCGAGGGCCGGGGAGACUGCCACGCUGGAGGGGAGCAGAGGCGAGUGGAAUUCCGGGUGUAGUGGUGAAAUGCGUAGAGAUCCGGAGGAACACCAGUGGCGAAGGCGGCUCGCUGGGCUCUACCUGACGCUGAGGCGCGAAAGCGUGGGGAGCGAACCGG